CCGAACAGAAGACGAGGGAAACACCGGAUGCGGACUCCGCCUCCUCCUCUUCUGGGGCGGAGCGCUCUCGAUGCCUCUGCCGCCCUACCUCUGUCGCUGACGUCCUCUCCUUUCAUUUCUUUGCGGAUUAUUUGGUCUGCUUCUCGUUUGAUUCACGUGGACUGCGACGCAGGCGUCUGCAUCUGCUCUUGAAUGCGUUGGUCGAUGCGUCUCAAGCUCCCAAUUCGAUCUCUCAGCCAAAGUGGUCUCACUGAUGGGAAUUGUUCUUGGAGAAAACUAUACAUGGAAUUGAUUCGUUCUGGUGUAAAGCCAAAUACAAGCAGUUGGAUAUCAUGCAGAGGACUGAAGACUGUUGAAGCCUACUUUGAAGAAAGUUAAUGCACGACGACACACAAUUUGGUUUGUGUACAGUGUUGCCACAGAGAAGGAACUCUACAUCACCUAUACACACAAAUUAUAUGCCAUGUUGGUUAAAUUUUUCCUUCGGAUGCAAGGAUCACCAUGUUGAAUUGAGUUGAUUGCAGAUGCCAAGGAGAAGAUGGAGCUGAUCACUCUAACCCUGGGAAGUUACUUUUGGAUGGUGAGUGGGAAAUCACCACAACCCAGCUUGAUCUUCUUCCAGCUCAUGCGCUGAAACUUAGGCAAGUAAGUCCUGGAAUGGUCCACCGAGAAGAAUCUCUCACACUUGUAUGCAGGCCACAUGAAGCCAAACUGGAGCAGGUGAGGAACAGUAGCAUGUUUUUGCACUGACAUAGCAGAUCCUUCAUUGAUGAUCUUAUUGAAGUUUCUACUGUUCAUCAUGGAACCAGAAAUCCAUGCUUUUUCUUCCACCACUUGCUUCGAACACAGACCUUCUCCAAAAGCACCAGGAAGAUCACAUCAUCUCAUGUCCUAUUCACUCAUCCUGUUACUCUCCUUGGCAGCUGCAGCAGUACUGUCACACCUCUGGCAUCGGACUCCUUCAAGAGCAGCGAUUGAAAGAUCAUCAUAAAACGUCACAAGUGAACACACAGUCAACUGAAUCGUGGCCUUCUUGAUCAUUCCUUACAGUGGUCAAGGAAAGCAGAAUGCAGUAUCAUCAGUGUCUGUGCUGUCUCCUAAUCUUCCACGGCCAUUUGUCUCACCAAACUGUAUAUAUGAUCGACUGAAAAGGGCAAGCAUUGAUCAUUUGGGUGCAGUAGCAUCAGUAUCCGUGCCCUAAUUAUGAUGCAGGAGCCUGUCUCUGCACUCCUAAUGGUUUCAUGGCAUCCUAGGGGAACAAAUGGCUCAGUGAACUGCAUACAGUUAUUUGGCAAGGAAACUUCUUGAUCGUUCUUCAUCAGUGUCAUCUGUGCUCUUAAGUAUGAUGCAGGAGACUCUGCACUCAAUGUUCUUCCAAGGCACCAGAGGAGAACAAUGGCUCAGUAAACUGCACAAGACUCAGCUUAUAGAUCAUUCUUCAUCAGUGUCAUCUGUGCUCCAAGUAUGAUGUAGGAGACUGUGUCUGCACGCCUAAUCUUUCAUGGCAUCCGAGGAGAACAAAUCAGUGAACUGCAUAUAGUCAACCGACAAGGGAAGUUCUUGAUCAUUCUGCAUCAGUGACAUCUGUGCUGCUCUAAGUAUGAUGCAGGAGACUGUGUCUGCACUCCUAAUCUCUCAUGGCCUUCCAGAGAACAAAUGGCUCGGUAAACUGCAAGCAGUCAAACUGAUAAAAGCAACCUCUUGAUCAUUGUUCACAUUGACUCUGCUGCUGCUUUCCUAAUCUCAAGGCCUAAUCUCUGAGGAGGAGAACAGGGCAUGGCUCAGAAAACCAAAACAUCAAGAACAAGAGAGGAAGAGGUAAGAGAAUAAAACAAAAGGGGGAAGGGGGAGAAUUAAAUGCUCGGGAGACCCGCAUGCAGAGGUGCAGCUGUCACGUAAUGAUGGUGGUGGGUUGACAACUUUAAACCAGCAGCCCCCGUUUCUGCAGAGAGAGAGAGGAGAGAGGACGAGCCUUUGGGUUGGCGAAGGACUUCAUUGCCAGUCUUUGUUUGCUGUAAAAUAUUUGCUAAUGUACUUUACAGAUGGCCACCAGAUUUUUGUGUUCUAAGUCCAAGUAUUAAAUGCAUAUUCUGUGAAUUAGCAUCA
Non-coding RNA from Musa acuminata subsp. malaccensis (wild Malaysian banana), 2106 nucleotides. Lineage: Eukaryota; Viridiplantae; Streptophyta; Magnoliopsida; Zingiberales; Musaceae. The record is from RefSeq and is a predicted model, not a curated record.